RNAcentral lists this ribosomal RNA (252 nucleotides) under uncultured bacterium. RNAcentral's name for it is "partial 16S ribosomal RNA". It matches the Rfam family "Bacterial small subunit ribosomal RNA", at positions 524 to 776 of the family's 1533-position model. The record is from RNAcentral.
UACGUAGGGUGCGAGCGUUAAUCGGAAUUACUGGGCGUAAAGGGCGCGCAGGCGGCCGCUCAAGUCAGAUGUGAAAGCCCCGGGCUCAACCUGGGAACUGCAUUUGAUACUGAGUGGCUAGAGUUCGGGAGAGGAGAGUGGAAUUCCCAGUGUAGAGGUGAAAUUCGUAGAUAUUGGAAGAACACCGGUGGCGAAGGCGGCUCUCUGGACCGAUACUGACGCUGAGGCGCGAAAGCGUGGGGAGCAAACAGG